AUUGAACGCUGGCGGCAGGCCUAACACAUGCAAGUCGAGCGGAGCGGCGGACGGGUGAGUAAUGCCUAGGAAUCUGCCUGGGAGUGGGGGAUAACGUCCGGAAACGGGCGCUAAUACCGCAUACUAUCAGAUGAGCCUAGGUCGGAUUAGCUAGUUGGUGGGGUAAAGGCCUACCAAGGCGACGAUCCGUAACUGGUCUGAGAGGAUGAUCAGUCACACUGGAACUGAGGAACGGUCCAGAAUCCUGAGGGAGGAAGCAGUGGGGAAUAUUGGACAAAGGGCGAAAACCUGAUCCAGCCCUGCCGCGGGUGAGAAAAAGGUCUUCGGAUUGUAAAGCUCUUUAAGUUGGGAGGCGUUACCAACAGAAUAAGCAACGGCUAACUUCGUGCCAGCAGCCGCGGUAAUAC
RNAcentral lists this ribosomal RNA (407 nucleotides) under uncultured bacterium. RNAcentral's name for it is "partial 16S ribosomal RNA". It matches the Rfam family "Bacterial small subunit ribosomal RNA", at positions 30 to 526 of the family's 1533-position model. The record is from RNAcentral.